UUGACAGCCCUAGAAACGGAUGUGCUUUAUCUGGCUACACAACAAAUACAGCGUAGGACAAGCUGCCACACUUGGCCCCUCCAGUGGCCUCAAAUCUGACCUGGAGGGACCACCUCUAGCACAGCUCAAUCUUCUUGUCUCAUCAGUCCACAGCCGGU
Molecule: unclassified non-coding RNA, 158 nt
Organism: Chelonoidis abingdonii (Abingdon island giant tortoise)
Lineage: Eukaryota; Metazoa; Chordata; Testudines; Testudinidae
Source: Ensembl